This 428-nucleotide ribosomal RNA is filed under the name uncultured bacterium. Its description in RNAcentral is "partial 16S ribosomal RNA". It matches the Rfam family "Bacterial small subunit ribosomal RNA", at positions 354 to 796 of the family's 1533-position model. The record is from RNAcentral.
GUGGGGAAUAUUGGGCAAUGGGCGCAAGCCUGACCCAGCAACACCGCGUGAAGGAAGAAGGCUUUCGGGUUGUAAACUUCUUUUACCAGGGACGAAACAAAUGACGGUACCUGGUGAAUAAGCCACGGCUAACUACGUGCCAGCAGCCGCGGUAAUACGUAGGUGGCGAGCGUUAUCCGGAUUUAUUGGGUGUAAAGGGCGUGUAGGCGGGACAGCAAGUCAGAUGUGAAAACCAGAGGCUCAACCUCUGGCCUGCAUUUGAAACUGUUGUUCUUGAGUGUCGGAGAGGUAAUCGGAAUUCCGUGUGUAGCGGUGAAAUGCGUAGAUAUACGGAGGAACACCAGUGGCGAAGGCGGAUUACUGGACGAUAACUGACGCUGAGGCGCGAAAGCGUGGGGAGCAAACAGGAUUAGAAACCCGAGUAGUCC